CUGUCGUCAGCUCGUGUCGUGAGAUGUUGGGUUAAGUCCCGCAACGAGCGCAACCCCUAUCGUAUGUUGCCAGCAUUUAGUUGGGCACUCAUGCGAGACCGCCGGUGUCAAGCCGGAGGAAGGUGGGGACGACGUCAAGUCAUCAUGGCCCUUACGUGUAGGGCUUGAAACGUGCUACAAUGGCAGUGACAAUGGGCCGCAAAUUCGCAAGGAUGAGCUAAUCCCCAAAAGCUGUCUCAGUUCAGAUUGUCCUCUGCAACUCGAGGGCAUGAAGUUGGAAUCGCUAGUAAUCGUGGAUCAGCAUGCCACGGUGAAUACGUUCCCGGGUCUUGUACACACCGCCCGUCACACCAUGGGAGUUGGUUCUACCUGAAGGCGCUGCGCUAACCGCAAGGGGGCAGGCGACCACGGUAGGGUCA
This 419-nucleotide ribosomal RNA is filed under the name uncultured Micavibrio sp. RNAcentral describes it as "bacterial SSU rRNA". It matches the Rfam family "Bacterial small subunit ribosomal RNA", at positions 1049 to 1470 of the family's 1533-position model. The record is from RNAcentral. Lineage: Bacteria; Pseudomonadati; Bdellovibrionota; Bdellovibrionia; Bdellovibrionales; Pseudobdellovibrionaceae.